GGUUGGUCCGAGUGCAGUGGUGUUUACAACUAAUUGAUCACAACCAGUUACAGAUUCCUUUGUUCCUUCUCCAUUCCCACUGCUUCACUUGACCAGCCUUAA
This 102-nucleotide Y RNA is filed under the name Microcebus murinus (gray mouse lemur). RNAcentral describes it as "Y RNA (ENSMICG00000048100.1)". It matches the Rfam family "Y RNA". Rfam says of the family: Y RNAs are components of the Ro ribonucleoprotein particle (Ro RNP), in association with Ro60 and La proteins. The Y RNAs and Ro60 and La proteins are well conserved, but the function of the Ro RNP is not known. The record is from Rfam by way of RNAcentral. Lineage: Eukaryota; Metazoa; Chordata; Mammalia; Primates; Cheirogaleidae.